Molecule: ribosomal RNA, 418 nt
Filed under: uncultured bacterium
Lineage: Bacteria
Description: bacterial SSU rRNA
Rfam family: Bacterial small subunit ribosomal RNA
Source: RNAcentral
UGGGGAAUAUUGGGCAAUGGGCGCAAGCCUGACCCAGCAACGCCGCGUGAAGGAAGAAGGCCCUCGGGUUGUAAACUUCUUUUAUCAAGGACGAAACAAAUGACGGUACUUGAUGAAUAAGCCACGGCUAACUACGUGCCAGCAGCCGCGGUAAUACGUAGGUGGCAAGCGUUAUCCGGAUUUACUGGGUGUAAAGGGCGUGUAGGCGGGACUGCAAGUCAGAUGUGAAAACCAUGGGCUCAACCCAUGGCCUGCAUUUGAAACUGUAGUUCUUGAGUGUUGGAGAGGCAGGCGGAAUUCCGUGUGUAGCGGUGAAAUGCGUAGAUAUUAGGAGGAACACCAGUGGCGAAGGCGGCUUACUGGACGGUAACUGACGUUGAGGCUCGAAAGCGUGGGGAGCAAACAGGAUUAGAUACCC